AACGAACGCUGGCGGCAUGCCUAACACAUGCAAGUCGAACGAGACCUUCGGGUCUAUUGGCGCACGUGGGCUUAACGCGUGGUAACCUGCCCUUAGGUUCGGAAUAACUCCCCGAAAGGGGUGCUAAUACCGGAUAAUGUCUUCGGACCAAAGAUUUAUCGCCUUUGGAUGGGCCCGCGUUGGAUUAGCUAGUUGGUAGGGUAAAAGCCUACCAAGGCGACGAUCCAUAGCUGGUCUGAGAGGAUGAUCAGCCACACUGGGACUGAGACACGGCCCAGACUCCUACGGGAGGCAGCAGUGGGGAAUAUUGGACAAUGGGCGAAAGCCUGAUCCAGCAAUGCCGCGUGAGUGAUGAAGGCCUUAGGGUUGUAAAGCUCUUUUACCCGGGAUGAUAAUGACAGUAACGGGAGAAUAAGCUCCGGCUAACUCCGUG
RNAcentral lists this ribosomal RNA (433 nucleotides) under uncultured bacterium. Its description in RNAcentral is "partial 16S ribosomal RNA". It matches the Rfam family "Bacterial small subunit ribosomal RNA", at positions 29 to 507 of the family's 1533-position model. The record is from RNAcentral.